GACGAACGCUGGCGGCGUGCUUAACACAUGCAAGUCGAACGGAAAGGCCCUGCUUGCAGGGUACUCGAGUGGCGAACGGGUGAGUAACACGUGGGUGAUCUGCCCUGCACUUCGGGAUAAGCCUGGGAAACUGGGUCUAAUACCGGAUAGGAGCCAUUUUUAGUGUGAUGGUUGGAAAGUUUUUUUCGGUGUAGGAUGAGCUCGCGGCCUAUCAGCUUGUUGGUGGGGUAAUGGCCUACCAAGGCGGCGACGGGUAGCCGGCCUGAGAGGGUGGACGGCCACAUUGGGACUGAGAUACGGCCCAGACGCCGACGGGAGGCAGCAGUGGGGAAUAUUGCACAAUGGGCGCAAGCCUGAUGCAGCGACGCCGCGUGGGGGAUGACGGCCUUCGGGUUGUAAACUCCUUUCGCUAGGGACGAAGCUUUUUGUGACGGUACCUAGAUAAGAAGCACCGGCUAACUACGUG
RNAcentral lists this ribosomal RNA (466 nucleotides) under uncultured bacterium. RNAcentral's name for it is "partial 16S ribosomal RNA". It matches the Rfam family "Bacterial small subunit ribosomal RNA", at positions 28 to 507 of the family's 1533-position model. The record is from RNAcentral.